UAGAGCCUGAAAUGUUUGUCAGCUCAAUAACCUUAACCUACAGAUAGUAUACGGGAGUUUAUGUAUGCAUUUGGAAAUCGUGCCUUAAAUGGAAGGUUGAAUCAUGUGUCGUGACACCCACCUGCGUGAGUGCAGGUGUAAGGUUAUAGCGGACGGCAUUUUGGGUUAUGU
This 171-nucleotide non-coding RNA is filed under the name Bacillota bacterium. Its description in RNAcentral is "6S RNA". It matches the Rfam family "6S / SsrS RNA". From Rfam's summary of the family: E. coli 6S RNA was the first non coding RNA to be sequenced, but its function was unknown until recently. Lineage: Bacteria; Bacillati; Bacillota. The record is from RNAcentral.